This 301-nucleotide ribosomal RNA is filed under the name uncultured bacterium. RNAcentral describes it as "partial 16S ribosomal RNA". It matches the Rfam family "Bacterial small subunit ribosomal RNA", at positions 509 to 809 of the family's 1533-position model. The record is from RNAcentral.
CAGUAGCCGCGGGAAUACGUAGGGUGCGAGCGUUAAUCGGAUUUACUGGGCGUAAAGCGUGCGUAGGCGGCUUUUUAAGUCGGAUGUGAAAUCCCUGAGCUUAACUUAGGAAUUGCAUUCGAUACUGGGAAGCUAGAGUAUGGGAGAGGAUGGUAGAAUUCCAGGUGUAGCGGUGAAAUGCGUAGAGAUCUGGAGGAAUACCGAUGGCGAAGGCAGCCAUCUGGCCUAAUACUGACGCUGAGGUACGAAAGCAUGGGGAGCAAACAGGAUUAGAUACCCCUGUAGUCCCUGUCUCUUAUAU